RNAcentral lists this unclassified non-coding RNA (307 nucleotides) under uncultured fungus. RNAcentral's name for it is "partial contains 5.8S ribosomal RNA, internal transcribed spacer 2, and large subunit ribosomal RNA". The stretch from base 1 to 52 matches the Rfam family "5.8S ribosomal RNA", at positions 103 to 154 of the family's 154-position model. Lineage: Eukaryota; Fungi. The record is from RNAcentral.
AACGCAUCUUGCGCUCCUUGGUAUUCCGAGGAGCAUGCCUGUUUGAGUGUCAUUAAAUUUUCAACCAUUUAGUAGCUUUUGCGAACUUUGGCUUGGAUGUGGGGGUUUUAUUGCUGGCUUCUAACGAGGUCAACUCCCCUGAAAUUUAUUAGCGGUGCCCUUUGUGGACUCCCGACUAUCAGUGUGAUAAUUAUCUACGCUGUUAGGCGACCACGCUUUAAAUGGGGUUGUGCUGCUUCUAACCGUCGUUUGACAAUAUAAUGACAAUUUUGACCUCAAAUCAGGUAGGACUACCCGCUGAACUUAA